UAGGGAAUAUUGGACAAUGGGGGAAACCCUGAUCCAGCAAUGCCGCGUGAGUGAUGAAGGCCUUAGGGUUGUAAAGCUCUUUUACCCGGGAUGAUAAUGACAGUACCGGGAGAAUAAGCUCCGGCUAACUCCGUGCCAGCAGCCGCGGUAAUACGGAGGGAGCUAGCGUUGUUCGGAAUUACUGGGCGUAAAGCGCACGUAGGCGGCUAUUCAAGUCAGAGGUGAAAGCCCGGGGCUCAACCCCGGAACUGCCUUUGAAACUAGAUAGCUUGAAUCCAGGAGAGGUGAGUGGAAUUCCGAGUGUAGAGGUGAAAUUCGUAGAUAUUCGGAAGAACACCAGUGGCGAAGGCGGCUCACUGGACUGGUAUUGACGCUGAGGUGCGAAAGCGUGGGGAGCAAACAGG
RNAcentral lists this ribosomal RNA (404 nucleotides) under Actinomycetes bacterium. Its description in RNAcentral is "Actinobacteria bacterium partial 16S ribosomal RNA". It matches the Rfam family "Bacterial small subunit ribosomal RNA", at positions 355 to 776 of the family's 1533-position model. The record is from RNAcentral. Lineage: Bacteria; Bacillati; Actinomycetota; Actinomycetes. RNAcentral also lists the same sequence under 3 other names.